Molecule: long non-coding RNA, 15585 nt
Filed under: Lynx pardinus (Iberian lynx)
Lineage: Eukaryota; Metazoa; Chordata; Mammalia; Carnivora; Felidae
Rfam family: tRNA (bases 1674-1731)
Source: RNAcentral
GUGAUUUUUAACUAUAUGUGAGGAUCUGGGGCUUUGGAAAUAGGUAGCUGUCUUGUCUAAUCCAGGACAACUGGCUGGCUUAUCUAGGUAUAUUCAGGCCUUUCCAUAUUUUGUCCAAACAAAGUAACAUGCUUGAUUGUGAUGUCACUCAUUUAUUUUCUGUAUGUGUGUGUUUGUUUCUUUCACAAUUUAUUUUAAUCUUAAUUUUUUGUGGUCAGGACACAAAGAGUCUUCUAAAACAUGGAUGUCCCUGAAAUCCAGGGCUGGAGACUGAGGCCUUAUCCGCCCAGGUCUAAAGGCGGCAUUGCUUCUGGAACUUUAUGAAGGCCACAGAGCCAGGGUGUGAAGCCAUGCUGUGAGGAUCCUCACCCAAAUACACUGCAGCAGUUUUACUGCUCCCUCCCGUAAAAACUUCUUUUCCCCUUGGCACCAACAGUGCUUGAUUUAAACGCCAGAAGUCUUGCCACAUUCGCUGUCAGAGAGCCAGGCCCCGCUCUACGUGUCAGGGGAUCGGACUCUGUGCGGACCUCUUUCUCAUGUUUCUCAGCCCUCAAACCAUGUCUCCAGCAGGUGUGUUUUGAUGGGUAGAAUCCAAGAUACUCCCGCAGCUGCAAGAGAGUCUGGGAAUACAAGUUUUGUUUUGUUUUAUGUCGUGUUUUGUUUUGUUUUAUAUGUUUGUUUUUGAAUUCUAUCUUGGAAAGGUAGGGCUUCCUACACAAAUGUAGCGAGGGUUUUCAGUGAGGUAGCCACCACUGACAGAGGUCCAAUGCAGCAGCUUUUUGACAUUUUAAUUUUUUUAAUUUUUAUUUAUUUGAGAGAGAGAAAGAGAGCUAGCAUGAGCAGGGGAGGGACAGAGGGAGAGGGAGACACAGAAUCCGAAGCAGGCUCUAGGCUCUGAGCCGUCAGCGCAGAACCCGACGCGGGGCUCAAACUCCCAAACCGCAAGAUCAUGACCUGAGCCGAAGUUGGAUGCUUAACCGACUGAGCCACUCAGGCACCCCAGCUUUUUAGCAAUUUAAAUAUGAGAGUGACGUGACUUAUGUUUUAAAAUCAUAAAGACACUCUGACUUCUGAUUGAAUUCUGUAUUGGAAGGUGGCAAGAGUGACAACAGGUGACAUCAUUUGUGCAGGAGGUAGGAGAGGUGAAGGCCAUCUGGACCAGGGUGUGGCCUCAGGGUUGGAGAGAGGUCGGCGGAUUCAGGGCCAGUACACCAGUGCCGACCACUGCAGAUGGGAUGCCCUAGAGGAGGGGAGCUGCAAACAAGUUGUUGCUCACUUCAUUUCACUGCAUUGUUUUCUAUAUUAUCAUACAGAGAUACUGUCCCUCUUAUCAUAAGUGUUCCACUCCCGAGAAGAUGUCUAGGAAAACCACAGAAGUCCCUCAGUUAUCAAAUUGGCCAUCUAAUAUUGCCUAAGAUAUUAAAUGCCAAAAAGGAGGGUGUAGCCCUUGACCUUUUUUUAAAUUCUAAUGUGGUUUUCAUAGUCCUGAUCAUGGAUGAUAGCUACAUUAGAUGGAGUGUCUACACAAAGCAGGUUAGCAAUAUAUUAACAUUUUUAUUUUUAUUUUUUUAUAUUUUUUACUUGCUAAAAUUGCAGCAAGCAUCCAGGUCAAAGUGCAGGGCUCUCUAUUUAAGGUGGUUCUUAUCUCCUUAAGAAGCUAAGACUCUCCUGGCUGGCUCAGUCAGUAGAGCAUGUGACUCCUGAUCUCAGGGUUGUGAGUUUGAGCCCCACAAUGGGUGUAGAAAUCACUUAAAAAUAAAGUCUUAAAAAAGAAAAAAGUUAAGAGGCUGGAAUCCACAAACUAAAAUCUGAUGUGAAUGUUGCAAAUUUGAGCUACCAGGAAGUGCUUUUAAAAGGAAUUUCCUGAAGAUUGUAAAACAGAUAUUAGCAAUUCUUUUAUUACUAACCUGAAGAUAAAUCUGUAUAAUCUGAUCCAGUCAUAGCUAAGAGGAAUAUAGAGUUUUCAAGAAGGUUUGAGAGAUUGAAAACCCUCCGUAAGGAAGAGGAAUUGUGUUAGGAGGUUUGAUUAGGAAUGGUAGGGGAAACUGAGUGAGGGGAAAAUUUGAGGUUAACAUCAAAGAAAAUUUCCUUCAGUAAGAGUCAUUUGGUGGUAAAAGUCCAAACCUUGGAGUCUCUCCAAACAGGUUUGGUCAUCACACUCUUGUAAGACAGCCGGAUUUUGACCUUGCCAGUCCCUGGUCCAUGCAGGGAGGAGGUCCUUUGCCUCCAAGGCUAUCUUUGUUCAGUUGCCAUGAUUAGAUGUGACAUGAAUUUCAGAAGACAUCUAGAGGAAUUGCACAGAGCACCCGGAAAUGUGAAGACACCUCUCAUGCCUCUGCUGUUGUUUGACAGUAGAGGUGGAACAGAAAGUGGCCAGUGAUCACCCACUGGAACAAGCCCUUUAUCAUAACAACAACCUAUUUUGAAAGAAAUUAUUUACAUUAUGAUCAUAAUUUAUUGAUAUAAGACAUAACUUCAUUCUAAGCAGUGGCUGGCUGACUGGUGGAAUGUCUUCAUUAACCAUGAUAUGGGUGUCCCCUCUGAUUUACGUUGAGUGAGGUUCAUAAUUUGCCAUACAAAAAAUAAUUUGACACAUUAGGAAAGGAAGGCUACAUUUUAAACAGUAUGUUUAAAUGUUUAUAUUUCAUGUCUUGACAUUUUAUAUCUAAUUCUAGGAACUUUGUAGUUCUUGUGUGUUUUGGCUUUUGUGGUUAUAUUCCACGAAAAAAACCUAAAACUUUGCAAACAAACUAUGUGAAUGAAUCUAUUUUUCUUUCUCACUUUUUUUUUUAACUUUUGGAAAGAUGGAAAUAGAUGUAGGAGGAUAGGUCAGGGAAAAUCUGUCUCUGGUUUUCAUGAGAUCCAGAAUACUUGGAAAAAUAGGGGUACUUAUGCCAGUGAUCACCUGUGCACUAAAAUCUACAUGCAUUGGUGAGAAAAAGAACAGAAGACCCAGUGAAAGGGGAGACAUACUGUGUCCAUAGGUCACAGUGAUUGAGAAAACUCAAGGUUAUUCAGAUGCCACUUCUCCCCAGAUUGAUCCAUAGAUCAUGAUCACAAUUAAAAUCACAGUGGGCUCAUUUUUUUAAUAGAAAUUGAAGUACAGAUUUUAAAUUUGAUAUGGAAAUUCAUAGGUUCCAGAACAUCCACAAUGUCUUUGGAAAAAAAAAAAAGGACCAAGUUAUAGAACUAACACUAUUUGAUUUCAAAACAUCUACAGUAAUUCAAGCAGUAUGAUAUUGGUGUAAAGCAGGAAUAAGAAAACCUUUUAUGUGAAAAGUCAAAUAGUAAAUAUUUUAGGCUCUGUGGGCUAUCCUGUAUCUGUCACAGCUCCUCAGCUCUGCUGCUGUAGUAUGGAUACAGCCAUACACAAUACAUAAAGAAUCAGUGUGGCUGUGUUUCAACAAACCUUUAGUUAAAGACUCUGAAAUUUAAAUUUAUAUAAAAGUUACAUGUUAUGAAAAACCAUUUGAUUUUUUCAACGAUUUUAAGAUAUAAGAGCCACUAAUAGCUUGUGGAUGUAUAUAAAUAGGUAGUGGACCAAAAUUGACCUGUGGGCCAUUGUUUGCUGGCCCCCAGUGAAAAGUAGACAAAAAGAUCAAAGGAAUGAAAUGGUCAAGAAAGACCUAUGUAUAUAUGAGCAACUAAUUUUUGACAAAGAUACAUAGGGAAAAGCACAAAUGGUGAUUCAAUAUCCAUAUGCAGAAAGAACGUUUAUCCAUACCCCACGCAUAUACAAAUAUUAACCCCAAGUAAGUAAUGUGAAACCUAAAACUAUAAAACUUGUAGAAGAAAAUAUUUUGUGACCUUAGUUUAGAAAAGGAUUUCUUCACAGAAUAGUAAAAGUAUGAUACAUUAAAAAAUGGAUAAAUUGGACUUUAUUAAAACAAUAUCAACAAAAGACCCUUGAUCUCUAGAAGACAGUAUUAUUAGAAUUGAAUAUCAGUAGAUAAAAAUAAACAAUGUGGUAUAACCAUACAAUGGACCAAUAAAAAGGAAUGAACUAUUGAUGCAUGCUACAACAUGGAUGAAUCUCAAAAUAAGAGUGCUAAGUUAAAGAAGCCAGACAAAAAGAGUAUAGACUGUGUGAUUUUUUAAAAUGUAAACUAGUCUGUAGUGAUAGAAAUCAGAUGCGUGGUUUCUGGGGGAUUGGGGUGGGUGUGGGUAGGGGCAGCAGGAAAGGAUUAUGAAAGAGCAUGAAGACACUUUUUAGAAUAGUGUUUAUGUUCAUUAUUUUGACCAUGGCUGUGGUUUUCCAGAAGAAUAUAGAUGUCAAAACUUAUUGAAUACUAUACUUUUAAAGUGUGUAGUUAAUUUUAGAUCAAUUAUAUCUCACAAUAAAAAGAUUAUAAAAAUAGAAACAUACCUACAGGUAGUCUAGUUAUUGUAGUGAUUAGACAAAGGCAUUUUAAAGAUCUGAUUAAUGUAUUUAAGAAAACAGAUGACAUGAUGGAGAUUUGCAUUGGAUAAAUGGAAUAUAUUAAAAAGCAUGGAAUAGAAAUCUAAAAACAGAUUAAUACAAUUCUAAAAUUAGUCGGGCUUCACAGAAGAGGAGACAAAUCAAAGAGAGGAUUAAUUAACUGGAACAUAGUGUAUACAUUGGUUAUGUAGUGCAUAACAAGGAAACACAGUCACGUAAAACCUUCAUUUUGUUCAUUGAGCUGCAGCUCAUCUGAGGUGUCUCUGCUUUGGGUUGCAGUCUCUGAGGGUGAUCUGGUUCAAGAUGCAGAAUGAGGUUUGCCAGUGCUCUGAACUCCGUAUGCUCAGGUUGAGCGGAGAGCAGCUUUAUGCCAUGGAAUUUUAAAAUUUAGACUAAGCAGGUGGUUUCUUUCAGCAACACAAUUACCAACUUCCCAAAACUGACACAAGAAGAAAUAAAAAAUAUGAGUAAUACUAGAUCCAUUGUAGAAAUUGAACCUGCUAUUGAGACUUAGUCUUGCCCAAAGAUCCACAUUCACAUGACUUCUGGGUGAAGUCUACGAGUUGUUUAAAGAAGAAAUAAAAUCAACCUUACAUCAAUUCUUUAGCAAUCGAAAAACAAAUGGAAAUGGAACAUUUUUCUGUGCAUUCUGAGGCCGACAUAAAUUUGGUGCCAAAAUUGCAGACCAGUUUCUUUAUUGGACUUUGACACAAAACUCCUAAAAAAAACUAUUAGCAAGUUGAAUUGAAUAAUAUAUAAAAAGGAAAAUACAUCACAACUAACGUGGGUUUAUCUCAAGAAAGCAAUGUUGGUUUAACAAUUGAAAAAUCAAUCAAUGUAAGUCACCGCAUUAAGAGAACAAAUGAGAAAAAUCAUAUGAUCACUUUAAUAGAUGCAGAGAGAGCAUUAGAAAAAAAUCCAACAGCCUUUCAUGAUAAUAAAAGAACAUUUCCUUACUCUAGUAAAGAGUCGCUACAAAACAGCUACAUAAAUCUUCAUAUGCAAUGGUGAAAUAUUGCAAGAUUUCCACCAACAUUGGGAAUGAAACAAAGAGGUCCGCUCUCACUAAUUCUAUUCACCAUUGUGCUAGAGGACCUAGUCAGUGCAACAAGGCAAGAAAGAAAUAAAAGUCAUAAUAAUUAGAAAGUAAGAAGUAAAACUGCCAUUAUUCACAGGUAGCAUGGUUUUGCAUGUAAAAAAUCUGAAAGAACGAAAGACAACUUAUUAGAAUUAAUAAGUGAAUAUAGCAAAAAUCAAUUGAGUUUUACGUGCAAUAUAAUAAACCUUCACAGCUCAUAAAGUUCUGAAUGAUAAAUGUAUGUGUGGUUACUGUACAGAAGUGUUGGAUUCAGAUGCCAGUGAUCUCUGAGGUUAAAGUUUUCUUGCAUGUAUUUGUGAAGGACCUUAAAUUAUCAAAUUGCAAGCAGAUGGCAACAAACCAUUAGAAAUUAAAAUGUAAGAGUGAUGCCACUUAACAUAGCAUCAUCAAAUGAUCAGUUACUUAGCAGUAAAUCUGAUUAAAUAUUUGCAAGACCUCUAUGAGGAAUGCUCUAAAAUAUUACCGAGUAGCCAAGAAAAUCAUGAAUUUGGAAGAUUUAUAUGAUCAGAUAUCAAAGUUAUUGUGCUUACCAUUAUACUUCUUAUAAAACAAAGGGGAAUGAGGAGAGUAACUGUCUUUUCAAUAAAUGGUACUGAAUCACUUGGAUAUCCAUCCAUCCAGGGGGGGAAAAAGAAUCUUGGUUCCUAUAACACACCAUAUGCAAAAAUCAAUUCCAGGUGGCUUGUGGACUUAAAUGUGAAAGGUAAAGUGAACAUAGGGGAAUUUCUUCAUGACCUUGUGGUGGGUAGGCAAAAAUUAAUUAAAAGUAUUUGGGGCUGAGCUUUACACAACCAGAAACAAACUCCAAAGUGUGAAACCCGCUAUAAAGUGCGAUACCUGAUCAUCUCACUUCAGGCCCCUGCAUCUUGAUUUUAAAUAGUCUGUGGGAGUCCACUUUUAUAGUGGACUCUGUAAUAGUAGAGACUCCACAAUGUCUCUCUAACAAUAUCUAAGAUAUUGGGGGGACUUUAUAAAGACACUAAAAGGAAAAACUGAGAAUGAGUGUGGAGACCCUGAACUGUAUUUGCUUUACUAUGUAGUAAAUGUAAGAAUAAAUGCAUACGACAAACUAUAAACAAUAUACAAGGGUUAUGAUAUUUAUUUCCAAGCCGAUCUCCAAGGAUUUAAUGAAAACUGCAGCCAGCUGAAGCUGUGGACUUUUCUGUCUUUGUUACUCUGGUUCAGAUUUCUCCUCUUUUAUCGCUUAGAUCCUGCUAAUGUUUUGGAUGCCACGCGAGGCUGAAGGGAUUGGUAAUGCUUACCGAUACAACCACUCUGCCGAAGUGAUAGAAAGUGAUAGGAACAUGGACCGUGGAGUCAGCUUCCUCUGGAAUCCCACUAUGGGCUUACUAACUACCUAAGCUUGGGCGAUAACAUUCUAUCUCUCUGAGCCUGUUUCCCCGGUUGAGGAAAAAGGUGAGCUGUUCAUAAGGCAGUUAGGAAGACUGAAUGCAGAGAUGGUGAUUUUUCACUUAUUGUUAACAAGACACUUGCCUGCCUUUUGUAAGGAAUUCUUAGUCUUUGAAACAGCAAGGGCUCAACAUUUAGAUUUCAAAUAAAAGUCCUUAUCCAUAGAUUUUUAAAGAGACAUUUGAUCUUGUUAAGUAUGUUCUACAAAUACCAUGCUAUCAGUUUCUCGAAGGUACUUUCUUUCCCUUUCCCUUGGUAUGCAUAGGUUUUGGUUUCUUCCCCCCCCACCCCCGGAAUAUGUCCGCUCCAUGGUACAAAGAAGAGGGUUUAUAUGUGAUCCAGAGGUUUGUUUUGUUUUGGUUGUUGUUGUGUUGUUUCGUUUCAUUUUGUUUUUAUUGAGAAGGCCAAGUCCUACGUUGGCUCUAAAGUAAAAGUGGGCUCUCCAUUGUGCAGAGUGAUGAGUCCCAUGAUACUUUGACACGACUCCCUCACUGCUGCAGGAGUCCACGUUUUACUGUUUAAAAACAUAUGGCACAAAUUAUGCCAUAAGCCAAAGUUCCUCAUAAGCAGAACCUUGCCUUUCUUUAUGGGACUCUGUUGCAGGUCCUCCUUGUUUUACCUGUGGACACGAGUGUACAUUGCAGCUGUUGAAAUCUUUCCUUCUUAGCUAUUCCAUGGAUACCAACGCAUGCCUUUUCAUUGGAUGCCGUGCUGUUGAAGAAUAGGGUAUUUUUUAUUUACAAAUGUGAAACCCUGCAGCCAGGCAUAUCUCUUUUACAAUGCAGUGAACCUUCCAAGCCCUUGUCUUAGUCUCUUGGAACCAAACAAAUUACAUGCCAUCGUGUGCUGUAUAUCACAGCUGGAAUGUUUAGAACGUCUGGCUGAGUGGAGUUUGGGAAUGGGCUUCUCCGGUGAGCUGGAGCAGAUUGUGUCUUUGACUGACAAGCUGCCAUUUUCUUGAGAUUUGACAAUUUGGGGUCCUUCACCUACCCAUGCAAAAAAACCCUAACCUCAGAGAGCUUUGGCAUUUGACCCCAAUAUUUUUAUACAGUAACCAUACAUACAUUUAUCACUCGGAGCUUUAUGAACAGUGAAGGUUUAUUACACUGCACUCAAACCUCAUUUAACCUUUUCUCUUGAAGCAAUACUUUAAAACAGAGUUGAAAGAGUUUGUACAACCAAGACUGGUUGUUGACCUUUUUGUGUGCUUCUGUUCCUGAGAACUCUUUGGUGCGGAUGUUUUUGGUCAGUAAAAGUUUUCUGUAACCUUGAGGAGCCUUACCCUUCUGUCUAAAUAUGUUCUUGAGAGGCCUCUUGGUCCUUGGAGGCUUUGGGGUUGACAGAGAUUCUAACAUUUUUUUAAAAAAAAAUUGUUUUUGACAGAGAGAGAGACAGAGCAUGAGCCAGGGAAGGGCAGAGAUAGAGGGAGACACAGAAUCUGAAGCAGGCUCCAGGCUCCGAGCUGUCAGCACAGAGCCCAAUGCAGGGCUUGAACCCACGAACCAUGAGAUUGUGACCUGAGCCCAAGUUGCACGCUCAACUGACUGAGCCACCCAGGUGUCCCAAUGAGAGAUUUUAUAAUAGGAAACUCAGAAUUGGUCAUUGGUAGAAGUGACCAGAUCUGUCCCUCAUGUAUACCCCUGUCACUUCUGUCUCUGAGCAUUUUGCUUAUGUUUUUCCCCUUUUCCAGUCCACAUGUCAGCCAUAACAUAAGGACCACUUCUUGCCUUGUCAUAGAAACUAUGAUUUCUUCCCUUUCUGUUCUGGCCCUCAUGAAACUCCAUUCCCUAAAAAUCUGUUCCUACCUGAACCAUAAAAUUUAACAUUUUAUUACCAUAUACUAUUUUGGAAUAUUUUUUAAAAUUUUGAUUUGUAUAAUGUUGCUUUCUCAACUUGCUUGAAAGUGUUCCAAGGACUAGAAUUGUAUGCUGUACUUCUGAAACUCCAUACAAACCUACCACUAUGCCUAGCACAUUAGUAGGAAUAUGCCAUAGAUUACAUCGACACAUUUGACCUAGUGUUUUAUGAAAGAUAAGUGUUUACAUCUGAGGAAAAUUUGUCCUUAAUAAGCAGGCAAUAAUUAAGAAUGGGCCAGAAUUUCCUGCCGUGGGUGUCCAGAAGGUUUACAUGGUAUUUAUUGCUUGGGAAUGGGCCUAUUUGGUAUCUGAAAAGGGCUACCGUGUUACUUCUUGGGUCUAGACAGAAAACUUUGAACCCUCUGUUCUAUUUCCUCUGUGUUCCAAUAUUAGUAAAUGCACAGGGUCUGCCUGCAGCUUUGAGUUGCACAAGGAGAGGUUUUAAGCUCAGUGCGAAAGAGGACCAUGUCUGCAUAGAAAGAGUGGAUGGAAGCACGUGUGCUGCUUCAUUCAUUUGCCAUUGCUGCUGUGUAUAUCUCAAAAGCAGGCCUGAGAGCUGAUGCUCAGGUUGCUGUCGGUAUUACUUCUGGAUCUGCCUCUUGGGUCUACCAAGAAUAAUAGCCUUUCCCUUUCACUAGGGAAAUGGAAGACACAGAUUCUAAUUUCAAGUAGGUCUGUAGACACUCAGCAAUGACAGAUUUGAUCACUUUGAUUUCUCUUUUUAAGUUUACUCAACCAAAUCACUGUUUUCCUUUCUGUCCUUGCUUCCAAUAUGAACCUUCAAAGCAUUUCCACCACUUAUAACUCUGCAUGGGACUUACCAUAACCAUGCGCAUUGUUCUUCUAGUGGUUUUGGGGAAAGGUCAGGCAGAUGACACCAAGCAGAGCUGCCAAAUGCUUUAACCAGCUGAUAGAUCCGGGCUAUAAUACCAGGAAGCAUAUCUCUGAGCCCCAACAACUUUUUAUUUAUGUGACAUUUACUUGGUGCCUAACACUUAUCAGAUACUAUUCAAAGUGCUUUAUAGAUAUCAACAUAGUUAAUUCUCAUAACAGCUCCAUGAGGGAGGUACUAUAAUAACCCCCAUUCAAAAGAUGAGGAAACCGAAGCGCAGAGAAGUUACAACUGUUUUGCCUAAGGUCACAUAGUCAGUAAAUGGCAGAGCUGGGAUGUGAGUCAAAGCAAACCUAAUUCCAGAGACCAUGCCUUCAGCCAUUUUGCCUCCUCAUUCCUUGUGUUCUGUGUAUUUUAUUUCUUUUUGUUUAACAGAUAUUUAUUAAAUGCCUUAUGCCCAAACAUUAUGUAAAACAACUGUGGGAAUAAAGAGAAGAGGGGACCCAGCUGUUUACUAUGAAGGACACGAGCACUCAAUGGGGGGGGUGGUGAAGAAUAUGUCAAGCUCUGCACAGCAUAUUGAGGUGUUCUUUCUGCCUCGAGGACAUCUGAUUCUUCAUUGAUGAGAGGAGAACAGCUCCUCUGUUGGGAGGGUUGACGUCUCAUUUUACAAGGAGAGCCAAGUUGUUGAAGGACUUGUCCAUUAGGAGACCUUUCAUAUGGGUUGUGUGGGAGUGAAAAAUAGAACUGCUAGUCAUUCAUUUAAUAAACAUUUAUUGAACAUUAGUAAGGGCAAGGCAUGAUAUUAAGAAAUACUAGAACAUACUAGUGGUUUCUUUUAAGUGUAAAAACUAUAAAAGUUCAGUUUGGACUACAUGGGGAAAAGUGUAAAAAUUAAUGCAAAUUUGCAAAUUUCAUGUUUGAUUAAUGCAGUGCUAGCCCUAAUCUUACAAGGAAGGGCAACAAGAGAAACAGAAAGGAGGAAGAAAACAAAGGACCGGACAUAUGCCAGUAGAACAUUUCAGUUACCAGGGCCCAUGGCUCCUUACUCUCUCUGUCCAAGGAUUCUCAACGUGGGUACCCCUGCUUGGCAUUUUUAAAAUCCAUAGGCAGCAUGAACUUGGCCAAUAUUCCAGCCCCAUAGGAAUACUAAAUGUACCCCAUUUCAUUUAUAGGAAAGAAGCAAAUUAAGACAGAGCACUUUUGUGUAAACCAUAAACUGCAUUUAACAAGGCAGGAGGCUUGGGAAUCCAUGCUCAGGCUGCUUGUUUUUCCUGGCACCUUGUUAAACAUGGUUGAAAGUUUACAUGCUGGGGAGCAGCCCACUUUCUCUUUGUUCCUGGGAAUGGCUCUGACUGAUCUGGGAGACCCCAGUGGAUGGGGUGCAAUCUUAGAUGCCGGUGCUGGAAUAGAACAGUGGGGCCUAAACUGCCACCUUCAAGCAGUGCCCACCUCGGUUGGGCCCGUGGCCCUGUGCUUGAGUCCCCCCGUUUGCAUACCCUCCAAAGAGCAGGACUGCCUCAGCACUGAUUGCAACGCCUAAUAACACUUAUUACCAAGGCACUCUUUCUAUGUCUGAAUUAAAUCCUUCAUCCUGCAUUUAGUGCAUCUCCUUUUGUUCUGCCCUGAAUAAAGAUUGAGAACAGCUGGUCAGCAGUCCCUGCAGAGUAACUCUUCAGACACUUGAAAGCUAUUAUUAAGUUCCCUCAGAGUCUCCUCUUCUCUAGACAGAUACUGGAGCUUUCUCCCACUUAGUUUCUCCACUCACCUUUUUCUUUCUGCCUUUAGGUCCUUCUCCAGCUGCUUGCUUGAAGCCACCUGGAAUUCUAACUGAACAUUUUCCUAAUGGUGUUGUUACUAGGAAAUGAUGGCAGGGGAUUUUGUUUCUCUUUCAGUCAUCAUUUUCUGGUGGGCUUGGUCUUUAAUUAUACUAGAAUCUCAUUUGUUGGCUUCAAUUAACUGAAGCAUCCCCCCAAUAUUUAAGUAUUUUGUGUCUACAGAGGACUUGUUAGUAAAGUUGAGUGUGUGUGUGUGAGUGUGUAUAUAUGCAAAUAUGUAUGUUUUUUCUCUGUUUUUCAUUCUCUUUUUCCUAAAUAUUAUUAUCUUGAUAAAAUGUGUGCUUCCAUUUAAAAUGUGGUUUCAAGCCACAUUUCCUUCUAAAUUAGGCAUGGAAUAUUUGUGUGUGUGUAUGUGUUGUGUGUGUGUGGUGUGGUGUGUGCACAUGCAUGUGCACAUGUGAGUGUAGCAUGCAAGUGUAUAUGUGUAUGUGUAAACUAUUUCUGAUUUAUUUGCAGUAGCUACCCAGAAUUCAAUGGUGGGAAGGAUGCUGAAACUCUGUGUAGUUAAGCAGGGAAGAAUAAUGCUGAAAUGCAUGUUUACAGCUAUGACGGCAUUAUUGCCAGGUUGUAGGUGCCAAAUAAGUGGCUGAAAAUAACAAAAUAAGUAAUUAUAUUUUUCCCUUCCCUCUCCAUAUAUAUAUACGUAUAUGUACAUACAUAUAUAUACAUACAUACAUAUAUAUACACACACACACACACACACACAUAUAUAUAUAUAUAUAUAUUUUUUUUUUUUUUUUUUUUUAGAAAACAGUCCUUUUAUUGAUCUACCCAUGGGGAGCAUCAUCAAUUAACUUCUCGCUUAGUCUGACUCACUAUAUCCCAUACAUUUUGGUGUCUCCCUCACCUUCAUCCCCUAUAUUCUGAUGGGUCACCAGUAGUCUCGGGAAGCAUCUCCAAUCUCACUUUCCUAUCACAUCUUGGGAAUUUAUUGACCCACUCUUGGAUUACUCCAACAGCCCUAUAACUAGCCUGCUUUCCUCUUUUCACACUCUUGGCCAUGGAACUAACACUCAAGGUGGAUACGUUAUUCAUGGCAACCCCUUGCUCAAGAAGAGUUAGUGGCUCAGUAUCACUUAAUGUAACCCAUCUAAAUGCUUCUUUUGUACUGGCUUCCAGGUUGUUCCCAAGUAGAUAUCAUCCAACAUAUUUAUCUUAGUUUCCCACCACUUUCCGGGAACGCUUUUGUUUCAGAUUUUUUAUUUUUUAUUUUUUUUUAUUUUUUUAUUUUUUUCAACGUUUUUAUUUUUAUUUUUGGGACAGAGAGAGACGGAGCAUGAACGGGGGAGGGGCAGAGAGAGGGGGAGACACAGAAUCGGAAACAGGCUCCAGGCUCCGAGCCAUCAGCCCAGAGCCCGACGCGGGGCUCGAACUCACGGACCGCGAGAUCGUGACCUGGCUGAAGUCGGACGCUUAACCGACUGCGCCACCCAGGCGCCCCUCAGAUUUUUUAAAGUACACUUUGCAUAUUCAAAGAAUUUUUACCACCUCACCUUGAAUCUCUUCCCCUCUUUUCAGCCAUUUCAAUCUUCCCAUUGUAUGAGACCCAUCAUCCAUGAAGCUUUUCUAAAUGUAGAUUUCCAGUCCUUACUGAUGUUUUCUUUCUCUAACCUCCUACCACGAUUGUAUUUUGUCAGUUAGCCCAAUUAUGGAUGGUUUGUGUGCCUCGCUAAUUGUUCUGUGUGAACCAACUGGUCUUGUGUUUUCAGUUAGACUUUUAUUUUCUUCAGAGGAGAGAACAUACCUUCCCUUUUAUGUGUUUGUUUUACCCAUUUUUCUUUGUUUCAAUCUACCCCAUAGCAGCGCUAUGCUCUUAAAUAGUACUCCAAAAGUACCUAUUACAUGACCCUCCAUGUAAACAGUCUGACUGCUUUUCACAAUGAGUAGAUAGAUUUAAAAAAAAUAAUAAUUUGAUCAGUCUUUAUGGCUUGGAUAGAUAGAUUAAUAUUUCAGAAAGUAUAGUUACUAGUGACAUUAGUAAAGAAAAAUGUAUUUGGGGAUCACACAUAGUUAAUAGAUGAUUCUCUUUGGGGGAAGAAUAAAAGUGAUUUCAUUUUGACAGAGCUCAAAGUAUUAUUAAUUACACAGAUGCUAAUAUGGUAUUGAGGGAUAGCUUAGAAAGGCAUUGAAAUGCAAUUUCUCACCUGCUUGCAUCGACAGUGAUGAGAUGUUCACUACAAAAUUUCUCUACUCUGGCACAGUAAACAGGUUAAAAAUUGCAGGAAAAAUCCAAAAGCAGAAAAAAAAAUUCUUAAUCCGUCAUUAUUAAAUGAUAUUCAGUAGCAUAGUCAAGAAAAACCAAAAAGGAACCUGCCAGAUCUGGUGUAUGUCUGAUGUUUCGGUGGGGGUAUGCUUCAGCCAAAGAAGAUUUUAGAAACCCAGAAAAGACCCCAGAGAACCUCAGCAUGGCUGUCGUUCUGUCCCCCGUAUGCCUGUGGAGCUGCCUGAAAGUCACCUGAGAGGCAAAGAGGAACCAUGCCAUGGACUGGCAUUUCUGAUCCACAGCAUAGUGGCUUAAUUGAUUUAUACUUUAUUCUUUUCAAAAGACAGCUGAAUGUCACAGGCCCUUCUUUUGUGUAGUACUGGAAAACUGGUUGUCAAACAAUCUCUGCUCAUUUAAUAAUUUAUCCCCUUUUGUAAAAGAAAGGCAGCUGACAUGCAGUAAAUCUACUCCAUAUUUAAAUUACCACAUUGAACAAUAAUAAGGAGAAUGAAAAAUCUAGUCCAUUAUUUAAAAUUAAACAUAUAUGAAACUGUUUUUUUUUCCAAAUGAUCACCAAAGGCUAUAGUUUAAAGGCAGCACUGAAGCCCUGAGUGGAAUAAAAAUGCCUAACAGUAGUUUGCAAAUGGCAGCGGAAUUAUUUAUUCUAUUUUUUCUAUACAUAAGGAAUUGAGCUAAAUGAACAAUGUUUAAGCAUGUCAGAAUUUCAUCAAUUUUGCAUGAGCAUUCUCAAAUAUCCUGGUGGGGGUAAUUGCUUGCAAAUACAUUUAAACUAAUGAUAUGUUAUAUCCUUACUUGAUAUAAAACUAUUAAAAGAUACGUUAUUGCAUUUGACAAUGCCAUGCAGCUGGGUCAGAUCUUAAUGACAGAUUUCUGCAUUUGUGAAUUAAGAUAUACUCUGCUGGAAGCAAAUAUUUUGUAAAAAUAAAAGCUAUACACUAUGUAAGUUUGAUCAUUUGUCUAAAUUUUCCAUUUCUGUUUUUCGGGAGCUACAAGAGUUAAGAGAGGAGGUUUGUCCCUUUCCUAAAAUGGGGAAAGGAAUUCCAAACUAUAAUUGAACCUUCCUCAAACCCCAUUCCCCUCAGCAGGAGUGAACAGAACUCGUAAAAUCCACCAUGUGGUUUUAAAGGUCCACUUGCAGUGUGGUUUUGCACCCCUUGCAGGCUGAAAUGACUGACAGGCCCCAAACCAAUUAGAGAAAGUGGCCCUUCCCUCCCAUGAAAAAGACUUGCUUAUUUUUAAAGGGGAUUAAACUAGGCUGAGAGGGAACACUGGAUGGGAAAAAUAAUUCACAGAAAAAAAGUAUAUAAAAGUCUACUUGCAAAAUGGUGUUAUUAAGAGGAGGGUGUAACAAUUUGCUGCAAGGAUUCUUUGGUCCUUCACUUUCAGGAGAUACUGGCUUUUCUAUUUUUUAGUCUAUUCUUGGUUUUGCCCGAGGUGAGUAUACAGAGGGUCCAGCUUGUACCAGCUUGGGUUUUAUUUGCCUGGAUCUCACCCUAGGCUCUGUGAUCAAAACCCUAGUGUGGUUUCCCUUCUUGACAGUGGGCUAAAAUGCAUAUUAAUUUGUCUCCAGUGCCGGGAUUUGUGACUCCAAGAUAGAUUGUGAGGCAGGCGUUAAUGCUCAUACGUGAUUGCGGAACUUGGGGAGCUAGCUUGGCAUCCCACUGGAAGUCAGAUGAUGUUAUGAUUACAAGGGAAGUAUUGAUAUACUUCCCUAAUUGUUUCUUAGGACUUUGGGUUCUAUUUAUGAUGUCAUUACAAAGCUAUGCAUUAUCUGCAUAAUCGCCAAGGAAAAGACUCUCAUGAAGGAAAAUGCAUCCCACUGAGAUAAUGCCGCGAGCUACUGCUAUACAUCCAGCGGCAUAUGUAUGGUGUUGAAAUAAUAAGACAGCAUGGAAUAAUGAUGAAU